RNAcentral lists this small nucleolar RNA (123 nucleotides) under Echinops telfairi (small Madagascar hedgehog). Its description in RNAcentral is "Small nucleolar RNA SNORA61 (ENSETEG00000025294.1)". The record is from RNAcentral. Lineage: Eukaryota; Metazoa; Chordata; Mammalia; Afrosoricida; Tenrecidae.
AACUUCCAGGUUCCAUGCCCAUCAAAUGUAAACACUGCUCUGAGUGGUGAUAGAAGGAUGAAAAGUAAAAUAGAAACAAAUGUCACUUGUUUUAUAUGAUACACGAGCUAGUUUCUAACAAAC